This 23-nucleotide small nuclear RNA is filed under the name Arabidopsis thaliana (thale cress). RNAcentral describes it as "snRNA_18593". The record is from RNAcentral. Lineage: Eukaryota; Viridiplantae; Streptophyta; Magnoliopsida; Brassicales; Brassicaceae.
ACGAAAAAAGUUCAGGUAGUUUU